CAAUAGCGUAUAUUAAAGUUGCUGCAGUUAAAAAGCUCGUAGUUGGAUUUCGGGUGGGAAUGGCCGGUCCGCCGUUUCGGUGUGCACUUGCUACGCCCACCUUGCUGCCGGGGACGUGCUCUUGAGUUCACGCUCGGGACACGGAGUCGGCGAGGUUACUUUGAGUAAAUUAGAGUGUUCAAAGCAGGCCUACGCUCUGAAUACAUUAGCAUGGAAUAACACGAUAGGACUCUGGCCUAUCUUGUUGGUCUGUAGGACCGGAGUAAUGAUUAAGAGGGACAGUCGGGGGCAUUCGUAUUUCAUUGUCAGAGGUGAAAUUCUUGGAUUUAUGAAAGACGAACUACUGCGAAAGCAUUUACCAAGGAUGUUUUCAUUAA
Molecule: ribosomal RNA, 377 nt
Filed under: uncultured eukaryote
Lineage: Eukaryota
Description: partial 18S ribosomal RNA
Rfam family: Eukaryotic small subunit ribosomal RNA
Source: RNAcentral